GGUUAAGGCAAGAAGUUAGCCGCAAGGCGACGCUUUGAACCGAAGCCCCCGUGAAUGUCGGCCGUAACUAUAACGGUCCUAAGGUAGCGAAAUUCCUUGUCGGGUAAGUUCCGACCUGCACGAAUCGUGUAACGACUUGAGCGCUGUCUCAACGAGGAUCUCGGUGAAAAUUGUAGUUCAGAUGAAAAUGUCUGAUUCCCGCAGUAGGACGGAAAGACCCUGUGAACCUUUACUGUAACCUGAUAUGGGGUUCUGGAUUGUCAUAUGUAGCAUAGCUGGGAGGCAUUGAAGCGUGGCCGUCAGGUCACGUGGAGCCAUCAGUGAAAUACCAGUUUUGAUUGUUCGGAAUUCUAACCUCGACCCGUCAACCGGGUGGGGGGACAGUGUCAGGGGGUCAGUUUGACUGGGGCGGUUUCCUCCAAAAAAGUAACGGAGGAGCGCGAUGGUUCCCUCAGCACGGUUGGCAAUCGUGCGUAGAGCGUAUAGGUAUAAGGGAGCUUAACUGCGAGACCAACAAGUCGAGCAGAUGCGAAAGCAGG
This 539-nucleotide ribosomal RNA is filed under the name uncultured bacterium. Its description in RNAcentral is "bacterial LSU rRNA". It matches the Rfam family "Bacterial large subunit ribosomal RNA", at positions 1875 to 2409 of the family's 2925-position model. The record is from RNAcentral.